GAAAGAGUUCAGUUUAGAGUUUAAAACCCUAAUGCUGACUAAAGAGAAUGUUCAGUUUAUGGUUUAAAACCCUAAUACUGACUGGCUGGAAAGAGUUCAGUUUAGGGUUUAAAACCCUAAUGCUGACUGAAUGGAAAAAGUUCAGUUUAGGGUUUAAAACCUUAAUGUUGACUAAAGGAAAGAGUUCAGUUUAGGGUUUAAAACCCUAAUGUUGACUGAAUGUAAAAGUUCAGUUUAGGGUUUAAAACCCUAAUGCUGACUGAAGGAAAGAGUUCAGUUUAGGGUUUAAAACCCUAAUGCUGACUAAAGGGAAAGUUCAGUUUAGGGUUUAAAACCCUAAUACUGACUGGCUGGAAAGAGUUCAGUUUAGGGUUUAAAACCCUAAUGCUGACUGAAUGGAAAAAGUUCAGUUUAGGGUUUAAAACCCUAAUACUGACUGAAGGAAAGAGUUCAGUUUAGGGUUUAAAACCCUAAUGCUGACCUAAGGAAAGAGUUCAGUUUAGGGUUUAAAACCCUAAUGCUGACUGAAUGGAAAAAGUUCAGUUUAGGGUUUAAAACCCUAAUGCUGACUGAAGGAAAGAGUUCAGUUUAGGGUUUAAAACCCUAAUGCUGACUGGCUGGAAAGAGUUCAGUUUAGGGUUUAAAACACUAAUGCUGACUAAAGGGAAAGUUCAGUUUAGGGUUUAAAACCCUAAUACUGACUGGCUGGAAAGAGUUCAGUUUAGGGUUUAAAACCCUAAUUCUGACUAAAGGAAAAGUUCAGUUUAGGGUUUAAAACCCUAAUACUGACUGGCUGGAAAGAGUUCAGUUUAGGGUUUAAAACCCUAAUGCUGACUGAAUGGAAAAAGUUCAGUUUAGGGUUUAAAACCCUAAUACUGACUGAAAGAAAGAGUUCAGUUUAGGGUUUAAAACCCUAAUGCUGACUAAAGGGAAAAAGUUCAGUUUAGGGUUUUAAAACCCUAAUGCUGACUAAAGGAAAGAGUUCAGUUUAGGGUUUAAAACCCUAAUGCUGACUGAAUGGGAAAAAGUUCAGUUUAGGGUUUAAAACCCUAAUGCUGACUAAAAGGAAAGUUCAGUUUAGGGUUUAAAACCCUAAUACUGAUUGGAUUGAAAGAGUUUAGUUUAGGGUUUAAAACCCUAAUGCUGACUGAAUGGAAAAAGUUCAGUUUAGGGUUUAAAACCCUAAUACUGACUGAAGGAAAGAGUUCAGUUUAGAGUUUUAAGCCCUAAUGCUGACUAAAGGGAAAGUUUAGUUUAGAGUUUAAAACCCUAAUACUGACUGGCUGGAAAGAGUUCAGUUUAGGGUUUAAAAUCCUAAUGCUGACUAAAGGGAAAGUUCAGUUUAGGGUUUAAAACCCUAAUGCUGACU
This 1369-nucleotide long non-coding RNA is filed under the name Nicotiana tabacum (common tobacco). RNAcentral describes it as "long non-coding RNA (NTAB_LNC002099)". The record is from RNAcentral. Lineage: Eukaryota; Viridiplantae; Streptophyta; Magnoliopsida; Solanales; Solanaceae.